RNAcentral lists this ribosomal RNA (1166 nucleotides) under Salmonella enterica. Its description in RNAcentral is "partial 23S ribosomal RNA". It matches the Rfam family "Bacterial large subunit ribosomal RNA", at positions 22 to 1230 of the family's 2925-position model. Lineage: Bacteria; Pseudomonadati; Pseudomonadota; Gammaproteobacteria; Enterobacterales; Enterobacteriaceae. The record is from RNAcentral. RNAcentral also lists the same sequence under 1 other name.
CGGUGGAUGCCCUGGCAGUCAGAGGCGAUGAAGGGCGUGCUAAUCUGCGAUAAGCGCCGGUAAGGUGAUAUGAACCGUUAUAACCGGCGAUACCCGAAUGGGGAAACCCAGUGUGACUCGUCACACUAUCAUUAACUGAAUCCAUAGGUUAAUGAGGCGAACCGGGGGAACUGAAACAUCUAAGUACCCCGAGGAAAAGAAAUCAACCGAGAUUCCCCCAGUAGCGGCGAGCGAACGGGGAGGAGCCCAGAGCCUGAAUCAGCAUGUGUGUUAGUGGAAGCGUCUGGAAAGGCGCGCGAUACAGGGUGACAGCCCCGUACACAAAAGCGCAUGUGCUGUGAGCUCGAUGAGUAGGGCGGGACACGUGGUAUCCUGUCUGAAUAUGGGGGGACCAUCCUCCAAGGCUAAAUACUCCUGACUGACCGAUAGUGAACCAGUACCGUGAGGGAAAGGCGAAAAGAACCCCGGCGAGGGGAGUGAAAAAGAACCUGAAACCGUGUACGUACAAGCAGUGGGAGCACCCUUUGGGUGUGACUGCGUACCUUUUGUAUAAUGGGUCAGCGACUUAUAUUCUGUAGCAAGGUUAACCGAAUAGGGGAGCCGGAGGGAAACCGAGUCUUAACCGGGCGUUAAGUUGCAGGGUAUAGACCCGAAACCCGGUGAUCUAGCCAUGGGCAGGUUGAAGGUUGGGUAACACUAACUGGAGGACCGAACCGACUAAUGUUGAAAAAUUAGCGGAUGACCUGUGGCUGGGGGUGAAAGGCCAAUCAAACCGGGAGAUAGCUGGUUCUCCCCGAAAGCUAUUUAGGUAGCGCCUCGUGAAUUCAUCUCCGGGGGUAGAGCACUGUUUCGGCUAGGGGGCCAUCCCGGCUUACCAACCCGAUGCAAACUGCGAAUACCGGAGAAUGUUAUCACGGGAGACACACGGCGGGUGCUAACGUCCGUCGUGAAGAGGGAAACAACCCAGACCGCCAGCUAAGGUCCCAAAGUCAUGGUUAAGUGGGAAACGAUGUGGGAAGGCCCAGACAGCCAGGAUGUUGGCUUAGAAGCAGCCAUCAUUUAAAGAAAGCGUAAUAGCUCACUGGUCGAGUCGGCCUGCGCGGAAGAUGUAACGGGGCUAAACCAUGCACCGAAGCUGCGGCAGCGACACUGUGUGUUGUUGGGUA